Molecule: ribosomal RNA, 234 nt
Filed under: uncultured bacterium
Lineage: Bacteria
Description: partial 16S ribosomal RNA
Rfam family: Bacterial small subunit ribosomal RNA
Source: RNAcentral
CGGCGGACGGGUGAGUAAUGUCUGGGAAACUGCCCGAUGGAGGGGGAUAACUACUGGAAACGGUAGCUAAUACCGCAUAACGUCGCAAGACCAAAGAGGGGGACCUUGGGCCUCUUGCCAUCGGAUGUGCCCAGAUGGGAUUAGCUAGUAGGUGGGGUAACGGCUCACCUAGGCGACGAUCCCUAGCUGGUCUGAGAGGAUGACCAGCCACACUGGAACUGAGACACGGUCCAG